CAAGCCAACUUUUUUUUUUGUUUUUUUACCUGUCAGGACGAACGCUGGCGGCGUGCCUAAUACAUGCAAGUCGAGCGGACAGAUGGGAGCUUGCUCCCUGAUGUUAGCGGCGGACGGGUGAGUAACACGUGGGUAACCUGCCUGUAAGACUGGGAUAACUCCGGGAAACCGGGGCUAAUACCGGAUGCUUGUUUGAACCGCAUGGUUCAAACAUAAAAGGUGGCUUCGGCUACCACUUACAGAUGGACCCGCGGCGCAUUAGCUAGUUGGUGAGGUAAUGGCUCACCAAGGCAACGAUGCGUAGCCGACCUGAGAGGGUGAUCGGCCACACUGGGACUGAGACACGGCCCAGACUCCUACGGGAGGCAGCAGUAGGGAAUCUUCCGCAAUGGACGAAAGUCUGACGGAGCAACGCCGCGUGAGUGAUGAAGGUUUUCGGAUCGUAAAGCUCUGUUGUUAGGGAAGAACAAGUACCGUUCGAAUAGGGCGGUACCUUGACGGUACCUAACCAGAAAGCCACGGCUAACUACGUGCCAGCAGCCGCGGUAAUACGUAGGUGGCAAGCGUUGUCCGGAAUUAUUGGGCGUAAAGGGCUCGCAGGCGGUUUCUUAAGUCUGAUGUGAAAGCCCCCGGCUCAACCGGGGAGGGUCAUUGGAAACUGGGGAACUUGAGUGCAGAAGAGGAGAGUGGAAUUCCACGUGUAGCGGUGAAAUGCGUAGAGAUGUGGAGGAACACCAGUGGCGAAGGCGACUCUCUGGUCUGUAACUGACGCUGAGAGCGAAAGAGGCC
This 789-nucleotide ribosomal RNA is filed under the name Bacillus sp. AVP6. Its description in RNAcentral is "bacterial SSU rRNA". It matches the Rfam family "Bacterial small subunit ribosomal RNA", at positions 1 to 764 of the family's 1533-position model. Lineage: Bacteria; Bacillati; Bacillota; Bacilli; Caryophanales; Bacillaceae. The record is from RNAcentral.